GACAGGUGCUGCAUGGCUGUCGUCAGCUCGUGUUGUGAAAUGUUGGGUUAAGUCCCGCAACGAGCGCAACCCUUAUCCUUUGUUGCCAGCGAUUAGGUCGGGAACUCAAAGGAGACUGCCAGUGAUAAACUGGAGGAAGGUGGGGAUGACGUCAAGUCAUCAUGGCCCUUACGACCAGGGCUACACACGUGCUACAAUGGCGCAUACAAAGAGAAGCGACCUCGCGAGAGCAAGCGGACCUCAUAAAGUGCGUCGUAGUCCGGAUUGGAGUCUGCAACUCGACUCCAUGAAGUCGGAAUCGCUAGUAAUCGUGGAUCAGAAUGCCACGGUGAAUACGUUCCCGGGCCUUGUACACACCGCCCGUCACACCAUGGGAGUGGGUUGCAAAAGAAGUAGGUAGCUUAACCUUCGGGAGGGCGCUUACCACUUUGUGAUUCAUGACUGGGGUGAAGUCGUAACAAGGUAACCGUAGGGGAACCUGCGGUUGGAUCACCUCCUUACCUGAAAGAA
RNAcentral lists this ribosomal RNA (510 nucleotides) under Salmonella enterica. RNAcentral describes it as "bacterial SSU rRNA". It matches the Rfam family "Bacterial small subunit ribosomal RNA", at positions 1033 to 1533 of the family's 1533-position model. Lineage: Bacteria; Pseudomonadati; Pseudomonadota; Gammaproteobacteria; Enterobacterales; Enterobacteriaceae. The record is from RNAcentral.